This 253-nucleotide ribosomal RNA is filed under the name uncultured bacterium. Its description in RNAcentral is "partial 16S ribosomal RNA". It matches the Rfam family "Bacterial small subunit ribosomal RNA", at positions 524 to 776 of the family's 1533-position model. The record is from RNAcentral.
GACAGAGGGUGCAAACGUUGUUCGGAAUUACUGGGCGUAAAGCGCGUGUAGGCGGCAGGGUAUGUCGGAUGUGAAAUCCCGUGGCUCAACCACGGAAGUGCACCCGAAACUACCCAGCUAGAGUCUCGGAGAGGAAGGCGGAAUGCUUGGUGUAGAGGUGAAAUUCGUAGAUAUCAAGCGGAACACCGGUGGCGAAGGCGGCUCACUGGCCCGAUACUGACGCUGAGGCACGAAAGCGUGGGGAGCAAACAGG